This 159-nucleotide non-coding RNA is filed under the name bovine gut metagenome. RNAcentral describes it as "Lysine riboswitch". It matches the Rfam family "Lysine riboswitch aptamer". From Rfam's summary of the family: Riboswitches are metabolite binding domains within certain messenger RNAs that serve as precision sensors for their corresponding targets. Allosteric rearrangement of mRNA structure is mediated by ligand binding, and this results in modulation of gene expression. The record is from RNAcentral.
AUAGAUAGAGGUGCGGUUGUUAAUAGUAGAUUCGCUUUACGGUUUCGCAAACUUCGGGCGAGUUGAAAGGAACUGCCGCCGAAAGAUCGUUCAGGCGUGUUCGGUCUUGGGAGUACGGAGAAUAUCCGUGCUACUGUCGCAAAUGCGGAGAGCUAUCUU